GUAUAAGGUUAAAGGUGUAUAAACACCAUUGACAUUCUAAUGCAUUCAGAGAGUUUGUGUAAAUAACAUAGAGCAAGAUAUAUUUUACAGGAGAAGCUGUUUUGUUACAACAGCAAUCCCCAAAACAAACCGAGUUUGACCUCGAGAGUAAUAACUAUCUUGUUCUACAGAAGGUGCACAGGUGAUAAAAAAUUGAAUAACGGCGGGUGUGCACAAUGCUCCAGAAGAGCCAGCAACAACCGUACCAGAUUUAUUUCAAUAAUGAUCCUUCCGCAGGUUCACCUACGGAAA
RNAcentral lists this unclassified non-coding RNA (291 nucleotides) under uncultured fungus. RNAcentral describes it as "sequence contains ITS1". The record is from RNAcentral. Lineage: Eukaryota; Fungi.